RNAcentral lists this ribosomal RNA (253 nucleotides) under uncultured bacterium. RNAcentral describes it as "partial 16S ribosomal RNA". It matches the Rfam family "Bacterial small subunit ribosomal RNA", at positions 524 to 776 of the family's 1533-position model. The record is from RNAcentral.
UACGUAGGGUGCAAGCGUUGUCCGGAAUUAUUGGGCGUAAAGAGCUCGUAGGCGGUCUGUCGCGUCUGCUGUGAAAACUCGGGGCUUAACCCCGGGCCUGCAGUGGGUACGGGCAGACUAGAGUGCGGUAGGGGAGACUGGAAUUCCUGGUGUAGCGGUGAAAUGCGCAGAUAUCAGGAGGAACACCGGUGGCGAAGGCGGGUCUCUGGGCCGUAACUGACGCUGAGGAGCGACAGUGUGGGGAGCGAACAGG